AGCUGACAGGAAGGCCAUGGUGAAACUGCCCAGCAUAUCGUCCGCAUCCUGCUGCCAACCAUCGCUGACCUGCAGCAUACACGGGGUGCGUGUGACAGGCUUGCAGCGUCACCAAAAAUGCCUCACACCCCAACCAUAGACUGUUUACUCUCCUGCCAUCAGGGAGGUGCUACAGGAGCCAUAGGUCCCGAACCGGCGGGGGGCCUUAGGUCCCGAACCGGCGGGAGUCGUAGGUCCCGAACCGGCGGGAGUCGUAGGUCCCGAACCGGCGGGAGUCGUAG
Molecule: long non-coding RNA, 281 nt
Organism: Brienomyrus brachyistius
Lineage: Eukaryota; Metazoa; Chordata; Actinopteri; Osteoglossiformes; Mormyridae
Exons: 3
Source: RefSeq, a predicted model, not a curated record